RNAcentral lists this ribosomal RNA (497 nucleotides) under uncultured bacterium. RNAcentral's name for it is "partial 16S ribosomal RNA". It matches the Rfam family "Bacterial small subunit ribosomal RNA", at positions 28 to 507 of the family's 1533-position model. The record is from RNAcentral.
GAUGAACGCUGGCGGCGUGCCUAAUACAUGCAAGUCGAGCGAACAGACGCGGAGCUUGCUUCUCUGACGUUAGCGGCGGACGGGUGAGUAACACGUGGAUAACCUACCUAUAAGACUGGGAUAACUUCGGGAAACCGGAGCUAAUACCGGAUAACAUGUUGAACCGCAUGGUUCAACAGUGAAAGACGGUCUUUCUGUCACUUAUAGAUGGAUCCGCGCCGCAUUAGCUAGUUGGUAAGGUAACGGCUUACCAAGGCAACGAUGCGUAGCCGACCUGAGAGGGUGAUCGGCCACACUGGAACUGAGACACGGUCCAGACUCCUACGGGAGGCAGCAGUAGGGAAUCUUCCGCAAUGGGCGAAAGCCUGACGGAGCAACGCCGCGUGAGUGAAGAAGGUCUUCGGAUCGUAAAACUCUGUUAUUAGGGAAGAACAAAUGUGUAAGUAACUAUGCACGUCUUGACGGUACCUAAUCAGAAAGCCACGGCUAACUACGUG